Cephus cinctus (wheat stem sawfly) is the source of this 2041-nucleotide long non-coding RNA. RefSeq lists it as uncharacterized. The transcript has 3 exons. Lineage: Eukaryota; Metazoa; Arthropoda; Insecta; Hymenoptera; Cephidae. The record is from RefSeq and is a predicted model, not a curated record.
GACAGGAAUUCUCAAGAUAAUAACACUGUCAGCAAAACAGGCACGUGGAUAAAAUGGUGUGGACCUACAAAGCUUACACCUUGGACACGAACAGAGUUGGGUCAGAUGGACUUGAGAAGACAUCCUGAAUACCUGGACUAUAAGAAAGGCGGGACCUGUCAGACGUCCGACUGUCGCAGGAAGCCUGGACGGGUCAAGGAAAUCACCUGGGAGUCAGACAGUUGUCAGAGUUGGCGAUCGCGAGGCCAAUGCGGCCAGCACAACCCUGGAUGGGGAAAAUUAGGACAACUGCCGCCUCGACUCAACAAGAGACUGGGGAGAAUGAUUCCCACAAUUCGAGCUCCGCAUGAUAUCACGGGCCCCGAAAAUAGUGCAACCACCCUCGACGACAGAAACGCCAACUACUAACCAACACGGAGAACGGCUAUCGGGCCGCCACUACAACCAAUCAAGGAAGCAACUAUUCAUUCGUGUACGUACCGUUCUUGCGAGUGCCUCCUUUUUCCGUGAUAAUGCGAUUUUCGUAACUAUUAGGUUGGCAACUUAUAAACCCGCCAUUUUCUUCGACCACUUUCUAAAAUGUUAUAGAAGCUUCUAGAAUAACUUAGUGCAGUAUAUAAAUAGAGCGUGAGUGAAGGGUCUCGAUCAUUCAGUAAUUAAACGUUGAGCGGUAAAGGUUACGGAAAACAUGGAUAUUUCUCGAAGGGAACUUUGACUACUCUUACUUCACAAAUUUCGUUUAGGUCGAAAAGCGACCGAAGCAAUUUCGAAUAUAUGUGCAACGAUGGGUGAAAGUGUGGUGUCCUACGAUACGGCCAAACAUUGGUACAGGAGAUUCAGGGAAAAUUCAAGGAAAUUUCGAUCUUUCUGAUGAUGAUCAUCCAAGACGACCGCCUACAGUAAAUGUGGAGGAACUAAAAAGGCUUAUAGAAAUGGAUCCCAGAUUAAGUUCGCGUUGUCUGUCGGAACAACUUCACUGCUCUCACACCGUAAUAGAAAAACAUCUCCAUGCUUUAGGAUUCAAGUGGAAAUAUGCAGUUUGGUUGCCACGUGAACUGACACCACGCUAAUUUCAACAGGGAGCCGACGUGUGCAUGGACUUGCUUAGUUUUCAUCGUACCAAGGAGUAGCUGCGGGAUGUUAUUACUGGAGAUGAAAAAUGGGUGAUGUACAUUAAUUUCACUCGUAGGCGUCAGUGGCUUAGAGCUGGAGGAACAAACACAAGUAGAAAGGUUCUAUUAAGUGUGUGGUGGGGAAUAAAUGGGAUUAUUCACUGCGAGCUUCUACCGAUGGAUAGUACAGUCACAGCAGCUGUUUAUUGUGAACAACUUGACCGUGUUGCAGCUAGAUUACCAAAGAAUUAAAGUAAAGUAUUGUAACGUUACAAAACAAUCAUCCUCUCAGUACUCGUGUACUGAGAGCGCACGCGUUACAGAAGGACGGCAAAGACACGCGUCUAGUCGAAACACGCGCCGAUAGAUGGAGAACGUCUCCCAAAAGUGAAAAUAAGGAAAGUUAGUAUCAAAGUAAUCCGAUAGAUGAUUAGCGCUUCCCGCUAACAAAUGUCAGAUUACAAUUUGUUAAAUACGACAUUUCAAGUCUAUCGAAGGCAGUUCACUAAAAGUCGGAAUUACUAGAGUAGAUAAACUCAAGUUCAUCGAGAAUCUACAGCAAUAGAGAGGAUAGUGGCUAGUUGUCAGAAAACUCGUCGUACGUACUCGUGUCUAAAGGCUACGGGAUAUUAGCUCUUGCUACUCCACGUAAACCUUGCGUAGAAAGAUUGUCAAAGCUCUGUGGAGACCACCGUGAUCUUCCGCAGAGACUUUCAUUAUCGCCAUAUUGUAAUCAGUCAUCCGCGCCGUUAGGAGUUGCGUCGCACACAGUGCCAUAGCCACUAGGUAGGCAAAGCGCCACUAGGGUUAUUGAACCAACACGGGCAGAUCCUCUGUACCUCACGCAUAGGUCAGAGAGAGAUAGGGAUAGAUAACAAACAGAGGCAGAUACCUAGACAAUCCGAUUUUCUACAAUACCGACUGUUAAU